AUUGAACGCUGGCGGCAGGCCUAACACAUGCAAGUCGAGCGGAUGAAGGGAGCUUGCUCCUGGAUUCAGCGGCGGACGGGUGAGUAAUGCCUAGGAAUCUGCCUGGUAGUGGGGGAUAACGUCCGGAAACGGGCGCUAAUACCGCAUACGUCCUGAGGGAGAAAGUGGGGGAUCUUCGGACCUCACGCUAUCAGAUGAGCCUAGGUCGGAUUAGCUAGUUGGUGGGGUGAAGGCCUACCAAGGCGACGAUCCGUAACUGGUCUGAGAGGAUGAUCAGUCACACUGGAACUGAGACACGAUCCAGACUCCUACGGGAGGCAGCAGUGGGGAAUAUUGGACAAUGGGCGAAAGCCUGAUCCAGCCAUGCCGCGUGUGUGAAGAAGGUCUUCGGAUUGUAAAGCACUUUAAGUUGGGAGGAAGGGCAGUAAGUUAAUACCUUGCUGUUUUGACGUUACCAACAGAAUAAGCACCGGCUAACUUCGUG
This 484-nucleotide ribosomal RNA is filed under the name uncultured bacterium. Its description in RNAcentral is "partial 16S ribosomal RNA". It matches the Rfam family "Bacterial small subunit ribosomal RNA", at positions 30 to 507 of the family's 1533-position model. The record is from RNAcentral.